AGAGUUUGAUUCUGGCUCAGGAUGAACGCUGGCGGCGUGCCUAAGACAUGCAAGUCGAACGAGUCGCAAGACUAGUGGCGAACGGGUGAGGAACACGUGAGAAACCUGCCCUUUAGAUGGGGAUAACCUCGAGAAAUCGAGGCUAAUACCGAAUACGAUUGCUUUCCGGCAUCGGAGAGUAAUGAAAUCAUUUAUGGCUAAAGGAUGGUCUCGCGUCUGAUUAGUUAGUUGGCGGGGCAACGGCCCACCAAGACGAUGAUCAGUAGCUGGUCUGAGAGGAUGGACAGCCACACUGGGACUGAGAUACGGCCCAGACUCCUACGGGAGGCAGCAGUCGGGAAUAUUGCACAAUGGGCGAAAGCCUGAUGCAGCGACGCCGCGUGAAGGAUGAAGCGUUUCGGCGUGUAAACUUCUGUUAGAGGGGACGAUUAUGACGGUGCCCUCAGAGAAAGCACCGGCUAAAUAUGUGCCAGCAGCCGCGGUAAUACAUAUGGUGCAAGCGUUAUCCGGAUUUAUUGGGCGUAAAGCGCGCGUAGGCGGUUUGGUAAGUUAGAAGUUAAAUCCCUGGGCUCAACCCAGGUUCGCUUUUAAAACUGCCAAGCUAGAGUUUUGGAGAGGGAAGGGGAACUAACAGAGUAGCGGUGAAAUGCGUAGAUACUGUUAGGAACACCAGUGGCGAAGGCGCCUUCCUGGACAAUAACUGACGUUAAAGUGCGAAAGCGUGGGGAGCAAACAGGAUUAGAUACCCUGGUAGUCCACGCUGUAAACGAUGUACAUUAGGUGUAGGGGGUAUCGACCCCCUCUGUGCCGAAGCUAACGCGUUAAAUGUACCGCCUGGGGACUACGGCCGCAAGGCUAAAACUCAAAGAAAUUGACGGGGGCCCGCACAAGCAGUGGAUUAUGUGGUUCAAUUCGACGAUACCCGAAAAACCUUACCAGUACUUGACAUCCGUGGAAUUCUGCAGAAGUGUAGAAGUGCCCGCAAGGGAGCCGCGAGACAGGUGGUGCAUGGCUGUCGUCAGCUCGUGUCGUGAGAUGUUAGGUUAAGUCCUGCAACGAGCGCAACCCCCAUCGUAUGUUGCUACAUUAAGUUGAGCACUCAUGCGAGACUGCCCAUGGAAAGUGGGAGGAAGGUGGGGAUGACGUCAAGUCAUCAUGCCCCUUACGUUCUGGGCUACACACAUAAUACAAUGGGCGUUACAAAGAGUCGCAAGCUAGCAAUAGCAAGCUAAUCUCAAAAAAGCGCCCUCAGUUCGGAUUGUAGGCUGCAACUCGCCUACAUGAAGCUGGAAUUGCUAGUAAACGCAGAUCAGCAUGCUGCGUUGAAUACGUUCUCGGGCCUUGUACACACCGCCCGUCACACCAUGAAAGCUAGGAAUAUCCGAAGCCGUUGCGCUAACCGCAAGGAGGCAGGCGUCUAAGAUAGAAUUAGUGAUUGGGGUGAAGUCGG
Molecule: ribosomal RNA, 1450 nt
Filed under: metagenome
Description: bacterial SSU rRNA
Rfam family: Bacterial small subunit ribosomal RNA
Source: RNAcentral